ACUUAAAUAGCUUAAAUUAAAGAGUAUAAUAUUGAAGAUAUUAAGGUAAUAGUAUUUAUUUUUAAGUA
Molecule: transfer RNA, 68 nt
Filed under: Onthophagus giraffa
Lineage: Eukaryota; Metazoa; Arthropoda; Insecta; Coleoptera; Scarabaeidae
Description: tRNA-Phe
Source: RNAcentral